Vicia villosa (hairy vetch) is the source of this 824-nucleotide long non-coding RNA. RefSeq lists it as uncharacterized. The transcript is spliced from 2 exons. NCBI's taxonomy places the organism in Eukaryota, Viridiplantae, Streptophyta, Magnoliopsida, Fabales, Fabaceae. The record is from RefSeq and is a predicted model, not a curated record.
UCUCUCUAUCCCACUAAGAUCCCUAAUUUUCUUCUACACUCAUAGAACCCUAACAAAAGCCAUCUUCGUAUUUCUAAUCUCUUCGUCAGUUCUUUCAAGCCGCCGUCGUCGGAUGUUCCUUUGUCACUGUUUUCCGCCACUAAGAAGCCGAACUGAAAACGAAAAUAAUUCCCGUGUUUGCUCAGACCGUCGCGGCUUCGUUUUUUGCGAUAAUGAAGACUUGAGUUUUGGAACUUACCACAUCAAUUCAAUCUAUAGCCAAUACUAAUCCAAACAAUACACUAAGGCAAGCUAGUUUUAAUAUUUGUCUUUAAAAAGUGGUUUGGAGAUUAAAAGAGUAGUUCUCUUCAAACUACAUUUAUUGUUACUUUUCACUCUAGAAAUUUUGUUUGGAGUUGCAUAUUUAUUUUUUAUUUAAAUUUGAAUGCUUAUUUUGUGGUUUACGCAAGUUUUUACCAACUACCAUAUGCAAGUUAGCAUGUAAUAUGAGUUUUUUCCAUAACUAUUUUUAAUCAGUUGUUUUUGAAUUUGAAUGUUUUUGAGGAUGCUGUGAAGAACUUCAAGAUGACGACAUAGGUGAUGAAUUUCAAGAGGUAUACAUAGAUGAUGAAGAGGAUGAUGACUCCGACAGAUUUAAAUGAGUUGGAUGGUGUUGUUUUAGGCUUGUAUUUGAGCAUUAAACUUAAAAAAAUAUGUAUUUUAUCAUUUUUCUAGAAUUAUACUUCUAAGUAAUAACUUAUAGGAUUAAGUAAUGUUAAAUAUUUUGUGUCCAUUAUGUGUAUUUGUGUUAAUGUUGAAAAUUUUAUUAGCAAAACUUCUUGGUA